RNAcentral lists this ribosomal RNA (484 nucleotides) under uncultured bacterium. RNAcentral describes it as "partial 16S ribosomal RNA". It matches the Rfam family "Bacterial small subunit ribosomal RNA", at positions 30 to 507 of the family's 1533-position model. The record is from RNAcentral.
AUUGAACGCUGGCGGCAGGCCUAACACAUGCAAGUCGAGCGGAUGAAGGGAGCUUGCUCCUGGAUUCAGCGGCGGACGGGUGAGUAAUGCCUAGGAAUCUGCCUGGUAGUGGGGGCUAACGUCCGGAAACGGGCGCUAAUACCGCAUACGUCCUGAGGGAGAAAGGGGGGGAUCUUCGGACCUCACGCUAUCAGAUGAGCCUAGGUCGGAUUAGCUAGUUGGUGGGGUAAAGGCCUACCAAGGCGACGAUCCGUAACUGGUCUGAGAGGAUGAUCAGUCACACUGGAACUGAGACACGGUCCAGACUCCUACGGGAGGCAGCAGUGGGGAAUAUUGGACAAUGGGCGAAAGCCUGAUCCAGCCAUGCCGCGUGUGUGAAGAAGGUCUUCGGAUUGUAAAGCACUUUAAGUUGGGAGGAAGGGCAGUAAGUUAAUACCUUGCUGUUUUGACGUUACCAACAGAAUAAGCACCGGCUAACUUCGUG